GGGAUAUUCCAGACCAUGUGACAUCAUGCUCAGCCUAUAAAGAUGGCCAGGGCAUCGCUGCUGUUUCUGUGGUGCUGUACUGGACAGGCUGGAACUCCAGUGUGAACUCGAGUUGAAGGGACUGCGACCUGCGGAUGAGUUCAUGUGGGAGCAGGACACCCUGAAGUGUCUGUGGCCAUGGAUAAGCCCAUGCCAGAGCAGGUACAUCUCGAAGCGUUUAUGGCCGCAGUUAUGUCUGUGCCGCAGCAGGUGUACCUCUGAAGGGACUGGCCCAAGGAUAAGUCCACGCUGCAGCAGGUAUUCCUUGAAGCAUCAGUGGCUGUGCUGGUCAUGCUGGAGUACCUCAAAGCGUGUGGCCAUGGAUAAGCCCACGACAGAGCAGGUACGCCCCUGGAGGGACUGCAGUCUUGGGUAAGGCCAUGUUGGAGCAGGUUUACUUCUGAAGGGACUGUGGCUGUGGGUAAGACCAUGCUGGAGGAGGUAUAUCUCCAAAGGCAUUGUGGCCCAUGGAUAAGGCCAUGCUGGAACAGGUGCGCCUCAAGGCAACUGUGGCUGUGGAUAAGUCUCUGCUGAAGCAGGUAUACCCCUGAAGAGACUCCAGUCUGUGGAUAAGUCCAAGCCAGAACAUGGGCAAGGUGAGGAGUUCAUUGCAAUGUUAAACCCUGUGGUCUGGUCCAAAGGGACCAGGGGUGGAGACUGUAAUGGAAAUAACUUUAAAUGGUUGUAACCCAUGAUUUGAGUUGCAUGUUAUAGGAAUUAAUAUAGCAGGAACCACCUGAACCAAUGGAGGCCAAGCCUUACAAGCAGCAGCGACCUGACCUGAGCUGGCUUUGGUGCCCAGUAACUCCACGCAACACACCACCUCUGCUGUCCUGAGUGACCACCGUAACAGGUGAAGCCCAAAGUCAUGGACUAAAUGAACUCAAUGGACAUUUUGUGGACGUUUUAUGGACAUUUUAGAGGGGCGAUCCAUAGACUAAGAGAAUAUCUGUAUGUUGUAUCAAAGGAUGGGAAGGGAGGUGGUGGUUAAUGAGGAUGUAUUGGAUAGCGUGGGACCUGAGCAUGAUGUAAAUGGUGUGGAAUAAGGGGUGGAGAAUGUGCUGGUUUUGGCUGGGAUAGAGUUAAUUUUCUUCACAGUAGUUGGUAUGGGGCUACGUUUUGGAUUUGUCAGAAAACAGUGUUGAUGAUACAGGGAUGUGUUAGUUAUUGCUGAGCAGUGCUCGCACAGUGCCAAGGGCUGUUCUGCUCAUCGCCCUACCCUGCCAGCAAGCAGCUGGGGAUGCACAAGGAGUUGGGAGGGGGACACAGUUGGGACAGCUGACCCCAACUGACCAAAGGGAUAUUCCAGACCAUAUGAUGUCAUGCUCAGCAAUAAAACUCGGGUUGGAGGUUGGUUUUAUGAAGAUGGCUAUUGCUACUUUUUAAUUAUUGCCUGUCAUGUAACCCAUUGCUUUAAAAAUUUUCUAUGUCUACUUUUA
Long non-coding RNA from Aquila chrysaetos chrysaetos, 1478 nucleotides. RefSeq lists it as uncharacterized. The record is from RefSeq and is a predicted model, not a curated record. Lineage: Eukaryota; Metazoa; Chordata; Aves; Accipitriformes; Accipitridae. The transcript is spliced from 2 exons.